RNAcentral lists this ribosomal RNA (433 nucleotides) under uncultured bacterium. RNAcentral's name for it is "partial 16S ribosomal RNA". It matches the Rfam family "Bacterial small subunit ribosomal RNA", at positions 29 to 507 of the family's 1533-position model. The record is from RNAcentral.
AACGAACGCUGGCGGCAUGCCUAACACAUGCAAGUCGAACGAGACCUUCGGGUCUAGUGGCGCACGGGUGCGUAACGCGUGGGAACCUGCCCUUAGGUUCGGAAUAACUCCCCGAAAGGGGUGCUAAUACCGGAUAAUGUCUUCGGACCAAAGAUUUAUCGCCUUUGGAUGGGCCCGCGUUGGAUUAGCUAGUUGGUAGGGUAAAAGCCUACCAAGGCGACGAUCCAUAGCUGGUCUGAGAGGAUGAUCAGCCACACUGGGACUGAGACACGGCCCAGACUCCUACGGGAGGGAGCAGGGGGGGAUAUUGGAACAUGGGCGAAAGCCUGAUCCAGCCAUGCCGCGGGAGUUAUGAAGGCCUUAGGGUUGUAAAGCUCUUUUACCCGGGAUGAUAAUGACAGUACCGGGAGAAUAAGCUCCGGCUAACUCCGUG